Long non-coding RNA from Hyla sarda, 821 nucleotides. RefSeq lists it as uncharacterized. The transcript is spliced from 3 exons. NCBI's taxonomy places the organism in Eukaryota, Metazoa, Chordata, Amphibia, Anura, Hylidae. The record is from RefSeq and is a predicted model, not a curated record.
UAUAUGUCCAGUAGAUUUUAAAGAGUCAAGUGAUGGCUGGAAGAAAUCAUCAUAGUGGUCUGAACCGGUUGGAAAAGAAAUGUGAUACUUCCCCCUCGGUUUCAGUGUUUUACCUCCAGUCGGCACUCUGGUGUUGCUUCAGUAGCGAACAUCAUGUGACUGCGGCAGCCAAUCAGCAGCCUCACCACUUAGUGAUGGUUGCCAUGGUGGUAGGAGUACAGAUCGUGACCAAUGAGGCUGCUGAUUGGCUGCGCGGUCAAAUGACAUUACCUGAUAAAAUAACAGCAGAGCACUGACCGGAGGGAGAAUGGGGGAUCAGCAUGGGGACAGAGGGGGAGCUCCUGCAUCACAGAUCAAUAGAUAUCAGACUGUAGAAGAAGGAACCAUCUGCAUCAUAUCUACAGCUGUGACAUAUCUUACUUUCUCGUUCUCGAGAUCCACCAUCUUCUGCUGUAGAGCAGUCUCCGUCACCUCUAUUUGCUGUAGCCACUAGGAGAGGAGGACAACCAUUAUAGCCAAAGAACAAGACGGAGAUGUGAGAUUCAGUCUACUCUACAAACAAGUCCUUGAAAGAAGAAGAAAUGCAGAAAACAGAAACAAUAAAUAGAAAGUCCACUAGGGGGAGCUAUGGAGCACAUUUAAAAAAAAAAAGACUCCUGGCUGCUUGCUUUAUCCUGGGAGAUUUUCCAGUCUUUUAUUCGCUUUGUUUUAUGCUUUAUACCUGAAUUAGCUUAAAAAAAAGAAAAGAAAAGACAAACACAAGCGUCACCCUGCUGCCAUGGCCGAAUCAACAUUUCUUCCUCACUAGGAAAUGUGGCAAU